GGCGCUAUAGCCAAGUGGUUACGGCGACAGAUUCGAACCAACGCGAUAUCUGUUCCUCUUUGAGGGCGCAGGUUCAAAUCCUGCUGGCGUCG
Molecule: transfer RNA, 92 nt
Filed under: Pisolithus tinctorius
Lineage: Eukaryota; Fungi; Basidiomycota; Agaricomycetes; Boletales; Pisolithaceae
Also listed under: 1 other name
Description: tRNA-Ser
Rfam family: tRNA
About the family: Transfer RNA (tRNA) molecules are approximately 80 nucleotides in length. Their secondary structure includes four short double-helical elements and three loops (D, anti-codon, and T loops). Further hydrogen bonds mediate the characteristic L-shaped molecular structure. tRNAs have two regions of fundamental functional importance: the anti-codon, which is responsible for specific mRNA codon recognition, and the 3' end, to which the tRNAs corresponding amino acid is attached (by aminoacyl-tRNA synthetases). tRNAs cope with the degeneracy of the genetic code in two manners: having more than one tRNA (with a specific anti-codon) for a particular amino acid; and 'wobble' base-pairing, i.e. permitting non-standard base-pairing at the 3rd anti-codon position.
Source: RNAcentral